UUGGUGUCUUGAACUAAACCAGAAAGAAACAGCUGCAGAUCCAAGCAUAGCAGGCACCGGAAUAAGUUAUCAUUACAUUUUGUAAAAGAUGCUGGAAGCAGCUAGAAAGACUCCCAAAAAAAACCAAAGCAAAUCCAGUAGAGCCUAAGUUCUUUAUGAAUUUCGUUUUGAAUACACCAGCUUGUGCUAUACCAAGCAGUUUCAAGAAGAUUUGUUUUUGUUUUAAUCAUUGUUUUCCUGUUGUGCUACUUGUUUUGUUCUUUGGGGUUUAGCCCUGCCUCAGACUACAUAUUGUUUGUAUGCUCUAUAAUGUGCAUAAAAUGUAGAAGAAAAAAAAAAGUGUUUUAUACUGGAACCUCCACUGAGGUAGGAGCUGUACUGAAAGCCACCUCAUGCCUGUGCCAGUCAUACCUCAGCCACUCAAAAGUCUCCAGAGGACACCCCUAGUCAUGAAUCUUGUUGAUUGUCACGGUCCUUCCUCUGAAACUGCCGCCACAGCAGCUGCAACAUUCAUCGCUGUGUCAGGAGUUGCUCCAGCUGCAGAUCCAGAAAACAAGUGCCAUGACCACUCUGAAAUAAAGAUUGAUCAAGAGACUUUGAAUGAAUGCAGAAGAAUGAACACAACACAGCUCAAGGAAUAA
This 641-nucleotide long non-coding RNA is filed under the name Anser brachyrhynchus (Pink-footed goose). Its description in RNAcentral is "lncRNA (ENSABRG00000005206.1)". The record is from RNAcentral. Lineage: Eukaryota; Metazoa; Chordata; Aves; Anseriformes; Anatidae.